CUUUUUGCAGCUUUUUGCCCCAGCCACCGUGCCUUUUUGCCCCCGCCGCCGCGGCUUUUUGUCCCCGCCGCCGCGGUUCUGAGGGCGGGAGCGGCAGACUCGGCUGCCAGCUCUACUGGCGUCCUGCCUGCACGGGCUGCGCACCAAGUGCGCUGUGUCCAACGGCCUCACCCAGCAGGAGAUACGGACCCUGGAGGUGAGGCCACUGAAGGUCUGAGGGAGAACUGACUUGUCAGGAACUCCUGUUAAGGAGAAUUAACAAAGUGUGGUUAUUAAAGGAGAACUGAGUUGGGAGUCAGACCUGGAGGACUGCACCCUUGGUUAAGACAUUAUACCACCUUGAGUCUGGCCUGUUGACUGAAGAUACAACAGAGAAAUGCAUAAUGUCCACUGAAUUUAUUAAAGUUCCAAAAUCGGUCGCGCGCAGUGGCUCACGCCUGUAAUCUCAAUACUUCGGCAGGCCGAGGCGUGUGGAUCACGAGGUCAGGAGUUGGA
Molecule: long non-coding RNA, 495 nt
Filed under: Homo sapiens (human)
Lineage: Eukaryota; Metazoa; Chordata; Mammalia; Primates; Hominidae
Description: HSALNT0305880
Source: RNAcentral